This 1488-nucleotide ribosomal RNA is filed under the name uncultured bacterium. Its description in RNAcentral is "bacterial SSU rRNA". It matches the Rfam family "Bacterial small subunit ribosomal RNA". The record is from RNAcentral.
AGAGUUUGAUUAUGGCUCAGGAUGAACGCUGGCGGCUGCCUAAUACAUGCAAGUCGAACGGAGAGCUAGCAAUAGCACUUAGUGGCGAACGGGUGAGUAACGCGUUGGUGACCUGCCCCGAAGAGGGGAUAACAGUUCGAAAGGACUGCUAAUACCCCAUAAUGUCCGGCUAGUUAGAGAGGCUGGACGAAAGGGAGAAAUCCGCUUUGGGAGGGGCCUGCGUCCCAUCAGCUAGUUGGUAAGGUAAAAGCUUACCAAGGCGAAGACGGGUAGGGGGCCUGAGAGGGUGAUCCCCCACACUGGCACUGAAACACGGGCCAGACACCUACGGGUGGCAGCAGUAGGGAAUAUUGCACAAUGGGCGAAACGUGAUGCAGCAACGCCGCGUGCGCGAAGAAGGCCUUCGAGUUGUAAAGCGCUUUUCGGGGAGAUGAGGAAGGACAGUAUCCCCGGAAUAAGGCUCGGCUAACUACGUGCCAGCAGCCGCGGUAACACGUAGGAGCCAAGCGUUAUCCGAAUUCACUGGGCGUAAACGCGUGUAGGCGGCUCGGUAAGUUGGAUGUGAAAUCUCCUGGCUCAACUGGGAGAGGACGUUCAAUACUGUCGGGCUAGAGGACGGCAGAGGGAGGUGGAAUUCCCGGUGUAGUGGUGAAAUGCGUAGAUAUCGGGAGGAACACCAGUGGCGAAGCGGGCCUUCUGGGCAAACCCUGACGCUCAGACGCGAAAGCUAGGGGAGCAAACGGGAUUAGAAACCCCGGUAGUCCUAGCCGUAAACGAUGUAGACUUGGUGUGGGUGGUGUAAAAGCCAUCUGUGCCGAAGCAAACGCGAUAAGUCUACCGCCUGGGGACUACGGCCGCAAGUUUAAAACUCAAAGGAAUUGACGGGGGCCCGCACAAGCAGCGGAGCGUGUGGUUUAAUUCGAUGUUACACGAAGAACCUUACCUGGGUUUGACAUGCAAGUGGUAGGGAACUGAAGGGGGACCGACUUCGGGGAGCUUGCACAGGUGCUGCAUGGCUGUCGUCAGCUCGUGUCGUGAGAUGUCCGGUUAAGUCCGGUAACGAGCGCAACCCCUGCUGUAUGUUACAAGUGUCAUACGGGACUGCCGGUAUAAAGCCGGAGGAAGGUGGGGAUGACGUCAAGUCAGCAUGGCCUUUAUGCCCAGGGCUACACACACGCUACAAAGGUCAGGACAAUGGGUAGCAAAGCCGCGAGGUGGAGCCAAUCCUGAAACUUGGCCACAGUUCAGAUGUCAGGCUGCAACCCGCCUGCAUGAAGCUGGAGUUGCUAGUAACCGCGCGUCAGCUAUAGUGCGGUGAAUACGUUCCCGGGCCUUGUACACGCCGCCCGUCACGUCAUGGGAGCUGGCAACACCUGAAGCCGGUAUCCUAACCGAAAGGAAGGAGCCGUCGAAGGUGGGGCUGGUGACUGGGACGAAGUCGUAUCAAGGUAGGUGUACCGGAAGGUGCGCCUGGAUCACCUCCUUUCU